CAUUGGAGAGGUUCAGCAGAGGAAAGAGUCCAUGUUACAUCACUGCCCAUAUGCUAGACACUGGAGGUCACAAAUCUCAUAAAACUUUUGGCAACAAGAAACCUAAAGUUUGUUUGAACUAAUCUAUGUCUCCUCAUUUAAGGAAUACAUCUACUGAAGCAGUCUACUCCGGCCACCAAAGUAUAAAAGCUGGACAAACAACAUAACGGAAAUCAUUUGAAGGCAUUUGAAAGUGACCACCAUUCAUAGUUCUUUAAGGGUUAUAAACCCUGAGAGAUAAAAGGAAUCAGUAGAACCCAUACUUAUGGCAACAUUUCUCCUUUAGGGUAUAUUCAGCUUACUGUGUGGAAUAGAUUCAAAGAAGAAAGCCAAAGUCUCCCUGGGCUGAGGAAACACUGGAUUUACAGUACAGUCACAGCAGCUGUGAUUUGAGGGGACAAAAAUCUCAAAGAAUGUAUAUAACUGAACCCCAAAAUCUGUAUUCCAUUUUUAUUUUAGACUUUUUCAACUCUCAAGCUGUACAGGGAAAGCUCUAAGACGCCCAACCAAAAGCAGUAGUUUAGACUGUGUGAAAGCACUGAACACAUAUUUCAAUAGUUAACUGAAUGAGUAGGCUUGGCAAAUAUUCUGUGCUCUCAGUUGAUACCCCAGGACUAUAUCCUAGAAGCAUGAUCCAUACCCUGGAAGAGAAAAACUGAAAAAACAACAAGAACCAAUUUUGAACUGAAAAUGUUUCAGAAAAAAUUGCGUCUGCACUUAACAUGUACAGAUUAUUUUUCUGGUCAUUAUUCCGUAAACAAUAUAGUGUAACAACUAUUACA
Long non-coding RNA from Symphalangus syndactylus (siamang), 821 nucleotides. RefSeq lists it as uncharacterized. The record is from RefSeq and is a predicted model, not a curated record. NCBI's taxonomy places the organism in Eukaryota, Metazoa, Chordata, Mammalia, Primates, Hylobatidae.